CACAAUCCUACCCAAUAUCCAGGUAAUAAAAAGAGUUUUUUAAAAGCUUGAAUUUGCAGGAAAAAUUAAUUAUGGACCAAGGAAUUAUCAUGAACUGAAUACUAAAUAUAAAUUGAGAGUUUCCACACAUGGAUUUAAAAGGAAAAAUCUCAGAUGGUUUAUAAAACAUUUCAGACUUCAGCGUCUCUUCCACAUUCAGUGUUUGGUCAGUAUUAUUUGUUAGACAGUGUCAGCUCUGGUUAGCAUAUCUGUUAGAUGGUAUGUAUUAGGCUUUCCUGCAUUGCUACAAAGAAAUACCUGAGGCUGGGUAAUUUAUAAAGAA
This 322-nucleotide long non-coding RNA is filed under the name Homo sapiens (human). Its description in RNAcentral is "long non-coding RNA NONHSAT205870". The record is from RNAcentral. Lineage: Eukaryota; Metazoa; Chordata; Mammalia; Primates; Hominidae.